GGUCCAGACUCCUACGGGAGGCAGCAGUGAGGAAUAUUGGUCAAUGGGCUUACGCCUGAACCAGCCAAGUCGCGUGAGGGAAGACUGCCCUAUGGGUUGUAAACCUCUUUUGUCAGGGAGCAACGCCGGCUACGUGUAGCCGGACUGAGAGUACCUGAAGAAAAAGCAUCGGCUAACUCCGUGCCAGCAGCCGCGGUAAUACGGAGGAUGCGAGCGUUAUCCGGAUUUAUUGGGUUUAAAGGGAGCGUAGAUGGGUUGUUAAGUCAGUUGUGAAAGUUUGCGGCUCAACCGUAAAAUUGCAAUUGAUACUGGCAGCCUUGAGUACAGUUGAGGUAGGCGGAAUUCGUGGUGUAGCGGUGAAAUGCUUAGAUAUCACGAAGAACUCCGAUUGCGAAGGCAGCUUGCUAGGCCGGAUCUGACACUGAUGCACGAAAGCGUGGGGAUCGAACAGGAUUAGAUACCCUUGUAG
RNAcentral lists this ribosomal RNA (469 nucleotides) under uncultured bacterium. Its description in RNAcentral is "bacterial SSU rRNA". It matches the Rfam family "Bacterial small subunit ribosomal RNA", at positions 328 to 793 of the family's 1533-position model. The record is from RNAcentral.